This 29-nucleotide small RNA is filed under the name Bombyx mori (domestic silkworm). RNAcentral describes it as "ovarian small RNA-16851". The record is from RNAcentral. Lineage: Eukaryota; Metazoa; Arthropoda; Insecta; Lepidoptera; Bombycidae.
GCGAUGAACGUUCCUGCUCGCGGAGUUGC